UACGGAGGAUGCGAGCGUUAUCCGGAUUUAUUGGGUUUAAAGGGUGCGUAGGCGGAUUUUUAAGUCAGCGGUAAAAUGUCCGGGCUCGACCCGGGCCGGCCGUUGAAACUGGGGAUCUUGAGUGGGCGAGAAGUAUGCGGAAUGCGUGGUGUAGCGGUGAAAUGCAUAGAUAUCACGCAGAACUCCGAUUGCGAAGGCAGCAUACCGGCGCCCGACUGACGCUGAGGCACGAAAGCGUGGGGAUCGAACAGG
Molecule: ribosomal RNA, 252 nt
Filed under: uncultured bacterium
Lineage: Bacteria
Description: partial 16S ribosomal RNA
Rfam family: Bacterial small subunit ribosomal RNA
Source: RNAcentral